Molecule: RNA transcript, 2540 nt
Organism: Zootermopsis nevadensis
Lineage: Eukaryota; Metazoa; Arthropoda; Insecta; Blattodea; Termopsidae
Source: RefSeq, a predicted model, not a curated record
UUUUAAAAUUUGAAGCGUGUUGAUACAUUAUUUACAUUGUUAGAAUGUUUACUGACGUCAUCAACAAAACUCCUGCAACACAGACGUGAAAAAACAGAACAGAACGGAACAGAGAACAGUCAGCAACCAACAAUUUGAAAGAGAACAUAAUUUUAUAAGAUGGAAAAAAACUUCACAGUUAAUGCAAACAGCACCAAAGUCAACAUAUCUCGGGUUGUACUUGUUGUAUUCGGAAGCGUAUGGCUGGCUUUUGCUGCAUUGAUUAUUCUAUUAAUCAUAUAUCAAGUGAUAAGAAGAAUUUAUAAGAAAUAUAAGUAAGUACUCUUGCAUACUGGUUCAAAACAUUUAUGAUGGACUACUCCUGAAUUACCACCGUAUUCGACACUGAGUACGAUAAGUGGAAUUAAUUCCACCACUAACAGCAUAUCACCGACAAUUUUGACACGAGAAGAAGAAAAACCAAAAGAUUUCUACUUAGGAUGUCUCGCUGCGACAGGGGUUGCGCUAGUGUUCAUGUUUUUCGGAUUAUUCUUCAUAUAUAUACCGGAUAUAAUGGCGUGGAUGCAUGGAACCAACAACAUAAAGAACUGAAAACCUCCUCCCCCUUUGGACUGUUGAUGAAAAGGGAAGAGUCGAUCAACAUCACCAAUACAUUUCACAUGAGCACAAGAACUACCCUAGCCAACGCAAGUACCAGCAGAAAAAAAUUUCAUCCACGAAGAAGACAACGCAGUCAUCUCUGCCUGUUAUGAUGAACCUAUAAUUGACAUCAACGAAGACUGUUACCCUCAGAGAAUAAUGGCUACAUGUUGCGACAAGCAGUAAAAUGAGUCCCAAAUCGUACUCAAGUUCGAUCUACGGGGGAUCGGUCCAGCCUAGGGAACACCGGCAGCUCGUUGAGCCCAGGAGGCCUCCAACCCUGUAGUCGUACUUUUAGAAGAUCUUCUCUGAUAGUGAUGUUCACACCUAAAUGCUGUCAGAUAAGGAAGCCCUAUGUGGCUGCUACAAUUUUUCAAGCUGAUUUGUCGUCGGCUGCACGUGGCCAUCAUGUAAUCGAGUAGGGUGCAGUCUUCGUCAGCAACUCACGACUGUGGUCUCAGCAGUGCACGGGAGAUUCCAUCUAGGUCGUCUCAGGUAUGGUGGAAGACCACUCCAAGCCACGAGCGCGUUAAUCGCACCCGGAGUGAGCUAUAUUGGAACUCUUGUGCGCUUUUGGGAAAACAACGUGACGAUGUUAUGAAUCUGCAAGAAGCUUGCUUCUAAGCAACAUUAUCGCCAGCAUUGUUAGCAAAAACCAGAUUAUAACAAGAAUACGCUACUACAAAUAUACAAAAUUUGGACAUCGUUAAUCAAAAUUCCCACCCCUAGUACUAUUCGAGGACCAUCUAAAACUCAUGAGCCUACUCAACCCAAAGUCGUCAUAAUUGAUUUUCAUAUAAUCCACUCAUCUUUGUGUCGAUGUUGAAAGUGAUAGCUUUCGAAAUAAUGCAUAUCCAAAAUAGUUAAGUUCACGUCUCGUUUCUGCAAUCCUGGCUACAUGACCAGCCCAUCGUAACCUGCUUAUUACUUACUGUCAACUAGAGCGGGGAGGAUGUCUGAAAUGUCGGUAAACUACCAGACGACACGGCGCCAGCUUCGUACUCACCGCCGUGAGAACCCCAAAUCCUACUUAGUUCAUAAUUUAUCAAAUUCCUGCCUAUUUUUCUUUACAUUCCAUCUUUCUUAGUCCUAAUGUUUAACAGUAAUUUGUUUCACGAUUUAUUUUCCGCAAUAAGUAAUAUAAUUGCAGCUGAAAGCAAUAGAAAUUCUGACCAGAACAACAUUCAACACUAAGACAAACUAAGCAAUAAUACAAAUAUUAACUAAAUUGUAUUUAAUUGUCUUAUUAUAAACAAAAUUACUUGCACAUUUGUUAAGACUCAAACUCUGUGCAUUAGGAAUGGAAGGUUUUUGAGCUCUGUCAGAAACAUCUAAUAAUAUAACAUAAACUAAUACAUGUUUCCUUUGUAAGCAUUACUUUCGUCGUUUGAAACAAAACAGGUUCCAGUAACAGGUCACAUCAUGAGAGUAUGCUUAUAUUUCUUUAAUUACAAUCCGAAAAUGGAUAGAUAUGUAAUUUUGUGAUUAAACUUUUGACGUAAAUACGUCUAUACGGAAGGGUAAUUCGGUAAAAGACUGUAACGAAAAUGUGUAAACCAAUAUCAACAAAUCGACAACAAUGGUUACCUAGGAAACGUCAUCUACUCGGCAUUGUUAACUAGGAAACAUAAUCUGUUUAUUCGGCAUUGUUGUUACCUAGGAAACGUCAUUGUUUAUUCGGCAUUGUUGUUAUCUAGGAAAAAUUAUUUACACAUUGUUGAUUCGAUACACAUCUUCGUUACGCUUUUUUGCCGAAUGGCCCUUCCGUAUAGACGUAUUUACGUCAAAAGAAACACGUAAAUGUAAAUUUAAUAAACUGUAUUUUCAAGCAUGCAGAGCUAUAUAUUGUAUAGUUAUUGUGAGGAAAAUCUGUGGGAAUAAAAUGGUUAUACUACAUUCAA